AGUAUCUUGUAACCAAUGAAUGAAAUGGAGACUCUCUUUUAAAAGCACAAAAAAAACGCCCACCGUGGGGCUCGAACCCACGACCACAAGGUUAAGAGCCUUGCGCUCUACCAACUGAGCUAAACGGGCACUUAUUAAUUGUAGCCAGCCAAAGCCUAUUGUAAAUCAAUAUCAUUAAUAACGAUUCUUUUCCGUUCGAAAGAUCCUAAAGAAUUUGUCUUGUAUUGUAUGCAUGAGAUUAUGCUGGUCAAUGUUUUGUAUCCUUGCAGU
This 270-nucleotide transfer RNA is filed under the name Hevea brasiliensis (rubber tree). The record is from RNAcentral. Lineage: Eukaryota; Viridiplantae; Streptophyta; Magnoliopsida; Malpighiales; Euphorbiaceae.